UACCAUUUGACAGCCUAUCUUAUCAUGUGUACUCUCUUUACAUUACAGUUGUUUAUUAGUUUACUCAUUUGUUUUGCAACUUAUGAAAUGCCGGUGUAUAUAUAUUUUCAACAUUUGACAUAACCCUGUAUGUUUUGUAGGGACAGCCCAGGACGUGCAUUUCUCAGCACCCAGUCAACUGCCAGAAGUGACUCGAACACAGGUCACCAGUGGCACUCGGCUGUACCACUGCAGAGCUGCAGAAAUUGCCAGCACCAGCGGCUUUGCAACAGCUGUUUCACAGCAUGUCGGAGACAAUGCCUACGAAAUUAUUGGCCCUGAUGACGAGAGCCCUCAAGGGGCAAACGACAUCUCUGUUGCAGAAGUGAGCCCGAUACCACCUGAAGUUACCAUGACAGGUGGCACGGUAGCAAUAGAUACAGAGGCGGCCAUGUCUACUGCAGCUGCAACAGUGUACGAGGCAAGCAGCAGUGUGUCAGCAUCAGCAGCAGUGUCAGAAGGAACCGCACCAGGCCUGGUAGAGCAACAUGUGUGCUAUCACUGUGACUUUUUUUGUAGUGCAUACAACUCAUUUGCUCAACAUACAAAAGCUUUUCACCACGACUGUGAGCCAGUGUUCUUGUGCAGCAAGUGCAAGACUAAGUUAAGUGUUAUAACACAGUACAAGCAUCACUUUAAGAUAUGAAAACAUAUUACAGUUGUUGCCUCCCCAGCCA
This 716-nucleotide long non-coding RNA is filed under the name Dermacentor andersoni. Its description in RNAcentral is "uncharacterized LOC126547018". The record is from RNAcentral. Lineage: Eukaryota; Metazoa; Arthropoda; Arachnida; Ixodida; Ixodidae.